UAGGGAAUCUUCGGCAAUGGACGAAAGUCUGACCGAGCAACGCCGCGUGAGUGAAGAAGGUUUUCGGAUCGUAAAACUCUGUUGUUAGAGAAGAACAAGGACGUUAGUAACUGAACGUCCCCUGACGGUAUCUAACCAGAAAGCCACGGCUAACUACGUGCCAGCAGCCGCGGUAAUACGUAGGUGGCAAGCGUUGUCCGGAUUUAUUGGGCGUAAAGCGAGCGCAGGCGGUUUCUUAAGUCUGAUGUGAAAGCCCCCGGCUCAACCGGGGAGGGUCAUUGGAAACUGGGCGACUUGAGUGCAGAAGAGGAGGGUGGAAUUCCUUGUGCAGCGGUAAAAUGCGUAGAUAUAUGGAGGAUCACCAGUGGCGAAGGCGGCUCUCUGGUCUAUAGCUGACGCUGAGGCUCGGAAGCGUGGGGAGCAAACAGG
Molecule: ribosomal RNA, 429 nt
Filed under: Gemmatimonadota bacterium
Lineage: Bacteria; Pseudomonadati; Gemmatimonadota
Description: Gemmatimonadetes bacterium partial 16S ribosomal RNA
Rfam family: Bacterial small subunit ribosomal RNA
Source: RNAcentral